UGCCGUCUACUCUUGGACAGCCUUCUGAAAGGAAGAUUAAUACAAGAUGGCAUCAUGAGUCCGCAUGUUCACAUGAUUAAAGGUAUUCCGGUAGACGAUGGGGAUGCGUUCCAUUAGAUAGUAGGCGGGGUAACGGCCCACCUAGUCUUCGAUGGAUAGGGGUUCUGAGAGGAAGGUCCCCCACAUUGGAACUGAGACACGGUCCAAACUCCUACGGGAGGCAGCGGUGAAGAAUAUUGGUCGGUGGGCGAGAGCCUGAACCACCCAAGUAGCGAGAAGGAUGACUGCCCUAUGGGUU
This 298-nucleotide ribosomal RNA is filed under the name uncultured bacterium. Its description in RNAcentral is "partial 16S ribosomal RNA". It matches the Rfam family "Bacterial small subunit ribosomal RNA", at positions 127 to 424 of the family's 1533-position model. The record is from RNAcentral.